This is a long non-coding RNA of Callithrix jacchus (white-tufted-ear marmoset), 4715 nucleotides long. RefSeq lists it as uncharacterized. The record is from RefSeq and is a predicted model, not a curated record. NCBI's taxonomy places the organism in Eukaryota, Metazoa, Chordata, Mammalia, Primates, Cebidae.
UCAUUUUUUCAUGUGUUUAUUGGCCUCAUAUAUGUCUUCUUUUGAAACGUGUCUGUUCAUAUCCUUCACCCACUUUUGAAUGGGUUCGGGGUUUUUUUUGUAAAUCUGUUUCAGUUCUUUAUAGAUUCUGGAUAUUACCCUUUGUAAGAUGGGUAGACUGCAAAAAUAUUUUCCCAUUCUUUUGGUUGCCAGUUCGCUCUAACGAUUGGUUUUCUGCUGUACAGAAGCUCUGGAGUUUAAUUAGAGCCCAUUUGUCUAUUUUGGCCUUUGUUACCAAUGCUUUUGGUGUUUUAGUCAUGAAGUCAUUGCCUAGAUGCAUGGAUAUUUUCUAUGUAUACAUAUGUAUUUUAUGUAUAUAUUUUCUAUGUUCAAUUUCCAGGCAGCUGAGGAAAAUGCAUUUCUGGUGGCUUUUUGCUAAUGACUUUUAGCUUAGUUCCAUAUGGUCUGUAAUAUAUUCUGAAUGAUUUUCUUAUUAAAAGUUUUAAGCUUUUCUUUAUAGCCCAGGAGAUGGCCAAUUUAGGGGAACACUUCAACUGCACUUGAAAAGAUUGUGAAUCCUGUCAUUUGAUGUUAGUGUUCUCCAUAUGUCUGUUUGACCUUUAGUCUUUACUGACUUUUUUUUACUUAUAUUUGCUAUAGAGUUGUGCCAAAUUUCUGUCUUUGCAUUUUGUCUAUUUUUUCUUUCACUUAUGCCAAUUUUGACAUUAUAUAUAUUGAAGUUACAUGAUUGAAUACAUGGAGAUUUGUGGUGUUCCUGUUGAGUUGAUAUCCUUAUUAUUACAAAAUAUUCCUACUUAAGGCAAUAGUAAUUAGUAGACAUGAGUCUAUUUUGUCUGAUAUUACUGUAGUUAAACCUGCUGGGUUUGGGUUAGUAUUUAUAUACUGUGGCUUUUUCUAUCCUUUGAUUUUCAAUCUUUCUCUAUCCUUAUAUUUAAAGGGUGUCUUCUGUAAACAGCAUAUAGUUGAGUUUUGUUUUUAAGGAUAGUCUGGCAAUUUUAGCCUUUUGUUAUAUUAUCCACUUUACAUUAAAUAAAAUUAUUUACAUUGUUAGGGUUAGGUCUAUUCUAUUAUUAUGUGUUUUCUGUUUAGUGUAUCUAUGUUCUCCUUUGCCUCACUUUGGCUGAAUUGCACAUUUUUAUCUUUCUGCUGUUUUUCUUCUAUUAGUUUGUUAUACAUUCAUUUAUGCUUAUUUCAGUGUUUAUAGAUUACAACAUGCAAUCUGAUGUGGUAUAUCUUAGUAGAAAUUUCUAUUUUUACUAUUUCUUAAUAGUGACAGAACUUUGGAGUUCUUAAAUUUCAUUUGUCAGUUGCCUCCUAUGCCCUCCCACCCCUUUGGUAUUUCUUGAUAAUGAAUUUUAAUUCUACGUGUAUUUAAACAUACAUAUUUUUGGUCUGGUUAAUACUCAUUUGAAUUUACCUACAUACUUAUUUAUCUUUUAUGUUUUUCCACAUUUGUAUGCUUCUAACUGGGAUCAUUUUCUUUCUGCCAGAUAAACAGUUUGGAUGUGCAAGUUGGAUAUGGGUUUGGAUUAGCGGUUGAUACAAUAAACAAAACUUAACAGUAAUAAAUGAUAAUGGGACCUGUCUAGUGGGCAGUUUAGCAAUUCUCUUGUCAAAAUUUAAAUUACACAGACCCUGCAUUCUACUUAUGGAUAUUUGUCAUAUAGAUGCAUUUGUGCAUAUAGAAUACAAUAUAAAGUAAGUUGGAAAUAACCUAAUAUUACAAGUAGGGAUCACUUGUAAGAUGGAAUAUUUAGUAGCCCAAAUAAAAAUUAAAUAGCUUUUAUGUACUAAUAUAAAAUUAUCUCCAAAACACAUGUUAAUAAAAAAUAAGGCAAAAGGAGGCACUUGCCAUAUAUUGUAAUGAGGGAAUAGGAUCUUUCUACUGAUCCUUUAGUGAAAGCAACUAUAAAUUAUAGAUAAUAUAUUAAAAUAAUCUCUGAGAGACUUUAAACAGAAUUAAAAACAAAAGUCUAGAAACUUGGAUGUUCAAGCAAUGCUUUGUGAAAGGUCAGAAUUAAGACUUUCUGCAAAAGCAUGGGAGCAUGAUGGUGUCACUUCUGUUGUAGCACAGCUCCUUGAGUUAGGGAUGAAGCUGGGCUGUAUCUGUAGUCUCUGGGGGUGAUGGGGGUGGGGGCGCUGGAGGGAGCAGGGAGAAGACGUUGUUGUAGAGAUCAGUUUGGCAAAUCUGAGGAAAACCUGCCCUCCCCGACUUCUUUUUUCCAUCUAGGUCUGCCAUCUCAGAAUAAUCUCCCAGAAGAAAACAGAUCAUUCCUGGAAUGCUAAAGGCUAUGGCUCAUGUGAGCUGGAAUAGUCCUGUGUUUUAUUGUUUAACCUGAAAAUACCUAUUGGAUGUCUUUCAGGAACCUGCUCCCAGAUCUGUCAUUGUUGUGAGUGCUGGGUCACAGAGACUAGUACCUUCCCUAAACCCCCUUUUCCUUUGCAGCCUCUCUGGAAUACCAAGUCAGACAUCUUUUAUUUGCCCAGUUUUCAGCCAAGAAUGCAGAUAGAGCACAUUUCCUCAAGGGAAACAAGAAAGCCUUUAUUUACAAAAUCAUUGCUUAAUAAGGCUCAGACGAAUUGCCACACAGGGGUUGAUGGUAUUCAAGGAUGUGGCCAUAGACUUCUUUUGGGAGGAAUGGGACUUCUGGAUGCUACUCAGAGGGACUUGUACAGAUGUGUGACGAUGGAGAACUACAGCAAUCUGGCCUCAGUCAGUAAGGAUACUAACUUGCAGAUCAUUCAGUAUUCACCCUUCAGAAGUUCUGCCUUCAUCCUUGUGGAUUUGUGGGUUGUCUGAAUUUCUACUUCCCAAUACUGAAGGAAGUCUGUACUUGGUGGCUGUGGAAAAGGCAUCUCUGUUGCACAUAUUCUUUAGAAGAUUUGCACACUUCCCUCUUGUUAUUCUGAUGAUCGUCUCUCUUCUUUUUGAGGCACGUUCUCGCUCUGUCACCCAGACUGGAGUGCAGCAGCAUGAUCUCAGCUCACUCACCACAGACUCUACCUCCCGGGCUCAAGUGAUCCUCCCACCUCAGCCUCCCGAGUAGCUGGGACCAAGUGCUAAUUUUUGUAUUUUUUGUAGAGACAGGGUUACACCAUGUUACCCAGGCUGUCCUCAAAUUCCUGGGCUCAAGAAACCUUACCGCCUUGGCCUCCCAAAACCCUGGAAUUUCUUACAGGCAGGAGCCACUGUGCCCAGCCAGCCUCUCUUCUUUGGUGACCAAAAGCUGGCUUUGAAUUCAGCCACCCUCCAGAUUGAUCCUGUUCCAUUUCUUCUUUUGCAUGUAGGACUUUCCAUUUUAAAGCCAGAUGUGAUCUCCUUAUUGGAACAGGAAAACCAGCCUUGGCUGGUGAACAGGGGCAUGACAGCAGGACCUUGCUUAGGUGAGCGGGAGCUUGGGAGCAGGGGGUAGGCUCGGCAGCCAGCUGGCCUUGCAGCAGCAGCAUCUUGGGUAUUCUUGCUGGGAGGUGCUACUCCAGGAUGAGGCCUGAAGAGGGAGAGAAGGCCUGAGACCCAGGGAGAAAAGUAACCUCUCUCUCCCCUCUUAGUGAGGUAGGUAGGAAUCCUCCUUCCCCAUACUCAUCUUUUUUACUUAUGCAUUAAGUCUAAUUCUUUCCCUGCUUAUCCUUGUCAUUUAGACCUGUGUAAAUAUUGUCACUUAUAAAAUAUUUUGGAAAAACAUGAAUUGAAUACUUAAUAUUCAAUAAAUUAUUCCCUUUAAAAAAAUUUUUUUUCUUUAUUCAGUAAUUGAUGAUUUAUUCAUUUACUCUUUAUCCAGAAUGCAUUGAUGUUUAAUUGUAAUUUUUAUUUUGUGAGUUGGAGUUCCACUCUUGUUGCCCAGGCUGCGUUGCAGUGCAACGGCGCGGUCUCAGCUCAGUGCAACCUCUGCCUCCCUGGUUCAAGUGAUUCUCCUGCUUCAGCCUCCAAAAUAGCUACGACUACAGGUGUGCGCCACCACUAAUCUUCAUGUUUUUAGUAGAGAUGGGAUUUCACCGUGCUGACCAGGCUGGUUGUGAGCUCUUGACCUCAGGUGAUCUACCCACCUCAGCCUCCCAAAGUGCUGGGAUUAUAGGCACGAGCCACCGCACCCGGCAGAUGUUUAAUUUAUUUAAGACUCACAUAAGUCUUAUGUAAAUUUAGGGGAAAUAAAGGGAAUAAACUAUUAAGAAAUGUUCCAUCUAAUUAGAAAGCUAGAAUAGAUUCUUAAGCGGUUCUCAUAAAGUAGACUAUACCACAGAAGAUGGUCCAGUAGCCUGCUUAGAUGAAAGUCAAGACUCAAGAUAUGAAUGUGGAAGAAAUUCAGAAAGAGAUUUUUUUCUGCAUUGAGGUGGAAGGAGCAUCAGUGGGGAGAUUGGGGGGUGCACUAUGAGGUUGACCUCAGGGAAGAGAGAGCGUGGCCAGCAAGAAGCAGCACCCUUUAUAGGUAGUCAUUGGUGAGUUUUCUCUUUUGAGCGAAGUCAGAUGGAAAUGCCAUUCAACGAAGAAUGCUUUUUUCUUUGAAAUUUGACAAAGAUGAUUCAUUGCAUGUUUUUUGUAAAGAAAGAGUUUCUAAGUUCCAGAAAUAACAUUCAUGUUUUAAUAACAUUGUUCUAAACAUUGAAUUUAUAGUUUUUAAUCUUCUUUCAUAGAAUACUACCAUAUGUAUUUUAUUUUCAUGUAGCCCCUUAAGAUUGCUUUGUAAUUUCUUGUUAAUAAAGUUUUACUGUGAUAUGCA